RNAcentral lists this ribosomal RNA (497 nucleotides) under uncultured bacterium. RNAcentral describes it as "partial 16S ribosomal RNA". It matches the Rfam family "Bacterial small subunit ribosomal RNA", at positions 28 to 507 of the family's 1533-position model. The record is from RNAcentral.
GAUGAACGCUGGCGGCGUGCCUAAUACAUGCAAGUCGAGCGAACAGACGCGGCUCUUGUUCCUUUCACGUUUGCCGCGGACGUGUGUGUAACACGUGUAUAAUCCACCUAUAAUUCUGGGAUAUCUUCGGGAAACCGGCGCUAAUCCCGUAUAAUCUAUUGCACCGCAUGGUUCAAUAGUGAAAGUCGGUUUUUCUGUCACUUAUAGAUGGAUCCGCGCUGCAUUAGCUAGUUGGUAAGUUAACGGCCUAUUAAGGCAACGAUGCGUAGCCGAAGUGAGAGAGUGGUAGGCGACACGGGAAGUGGAACGGGGUCAAGAGGACUACGAGAGGCAGCAGAAGGGUAUCUGACGCAGAAGGCGAGAGCAUGACGGAGCAACGCCGCGUGAGUGAUGGAAGUCUUCGGAUCGUAAAAAUCUGUUAUGAGGGGAAAACAAAUGUGUAAGUAAAUAUGCACGUCGUGACGGUACCUAAUCAGGAAGCCACGGCUAACUACGUG